UACGUAGGGGGCAAGCGUUGUCCGGAAUCAUUGGGCGUAAAGCGCGUGUAGGCGGCCCGGUAAGUCCGCUGUGAAAGUCGGGGGCUCAACCCUCGAAUGCCGGUGGAUACUGUCGGGCUAGAGUGCGGAAGAGGCGAGUGGAAUUCCUGGUGUAGCGGUGAAAUGCGCAGAUAUCAGGAGGAACACCUAUUGCGAAGGCAGCUCGCUGGGACGUUACUGACGCUGAGACGCGAAAGCGUGGGGAGCAAACAGG
Molecule: ribosomal RNA, 253 nt
Filed under: uncultured bacterium
Lineage: Bacteria
Description: partial 16S ribosomal RNA
Rfam family: Bacterial small subunit ribosomal RNA
Source: RNAcentral